GCCCCGGGCAUGGCGGGGCCCCGCGCGGCUCCGGGGAGCGCCGCGAUGCGCAGCGGAGCAUCCCGGGAGAGCCGCGGGAAUGCCCCGGGCAGGGCAGCUGGAAUGGAGCUGGCUCCUAGAAAGGCUGAAUGCUUGGAGUCAGAAAAUUCACUGCUGUCACAUCGUCCCUUGCCUUGGAGCUGGGCUCAGGCUUACAGUGAUUCCUGUUACACACCCUUCCCAUCCCAGGCACGUCUAGGCAUCAUCACUCUGGGCUGAAUCAGACCUGUCUGAGCAUUCACCCUCCUGUCACAGAAGAAGCGAAGGAUGCAGCAAGGCUCAGAGUGGGCGGCUCCAGGUGUCAACUGAGCAGAGUCAGGAUCAGCUGCAGUUAUUCCAGAGUACGUGUCCACGUGCAGAAUAUUCCGGAACA
Molecule: long non-coding RNA, 412 nt
Organism: Camarhynchus parvulus
Lineage: Eukaryota; Metazoa; Chordata; Aves; Passeriformes; Thraupidae
Exons: 4
Source: RefSeq, a predicted model, not a curated record